GAUGAACGCUGGCGGCGUGCCUAAUACAUGCAAGUCGAGCGAACGGACGAGAAGCUUGCUUCUCUGAUGUUAGCGGCGGACGGGUGAGUAACACGUGGAUAACCUACCUAUAAGACUGGGAUAACUUCGGGAAACCGGAGCUAAUACCGGAUAAUAUUUUGAACCGCAUGGUUCAAAAGUGAUAGACGGUCUUGCUGUCACUUAUAGAUGGAUCCGCGCUGCAUUAGCUAGUUGGUAAGGUAACGGCUUACCAAGGCGACGAUGCGUAGCCGACCUGAGAGGAUGAUCGGCCACACUGGAACUGAGACACGGUCCAGACUCCUACGGGAGGCAGCAGUAGGGAAUCUUCCGCAAUGGGCGAAAGCCUGACGGAGCAACGCCGCGUGAGUGAUGAAGGUCUUCGGAUCGUAAAACUCUGUUAUUAGGGAAGAACAUAUGUGUAAGUAACUGUGCACAUCUUGACGGUACCUAAUCAGAAAGCCACGGCUAACUACGUG
Molecule: ribosomal RNA, 497 nt
Filed under: uncultured bacterium
Lineage: Bacteria
Description: partial 16S ribosomal RNA
Rfam family: Bacterial small subunit ribosomal RNA
Source: RNAcentral